RNAcentral lists this unclassified non-coding RNA (861 nucleotides) under uncultured bacterium. Its description in RNAcentral is "partial contains 16S ribosomal RNA, 16S-23S ribosomal RNA intergenic spacer, and 23S ribosomal RNA". The stretch from base 1 to 241 matches the Rfam family "Bacterial small subunit ribosomal RNA", at positions 1294 to 1533 of the family's 1533-position model. The record is from RNAcentral.
CAGAUCGUAGGCUGCAACUCGCCUACGUGAAGUAGGAAUCGCUAGUAAUCGCAGGUCAGCAUACUGCGGUGAAUACGUUCCCGGGCCUUGUACACACCGCCCGUCACACCAUGGAAGUUGGCCAUGCCCGAAGUCGUUACUCCAACCCUUGUGGAGGAGGACGCCGAAGGUGGGGCUAAUGACUGGGGUGAAGUCGUAACAAGGUAGCCGUACCGGAAGGUGCGGCUGGAUCACCUCCUAACAGGGAGACAACAAAAUGUUUAAUAUUAUUUUGUCACCUUAGGUCGAUCGGUAUCUCACUUUCUCGAUUUAUUGAGAAUUUCAUUUCCUAAGUUUUUCUAGGUCACACCCAUUAUUUUUCCUGGGCCAUUAGCUCAGGUGGUUAGAGCGCACCCCUGAUAAGGGUGAGGUCCCUGGUUCAAGUCCAGGAUGGCCCAUAUCUCUAUGUUGGGGGUAUAGCUCAGUUGGUAGAGCGCCUGCUUUGCAAGCAGGAUGUCAGCGGUUCGAGUCCGCUUACCUCCACUGAUUACCACCUCUUCCAUAUCCCGAGAAAGGAAUUUUUUUGAGUUGUGAUCAAAUUCUGAACGAAUCCAGCUUCCUAAUGAGAGCAUUAAGAUGCUGGACUCAUUGAAUUAAUUUCAUUGUUUUCAGAGAACCUUGACAACUGCAUAGAUUAUUUUUAAAGACAAUAAGCAUCUUUAAUGAUGCAGAUUUAUUAUUUGUGCGAAUGCAUUAAUAACAAUUCUAUUAAGCUGAUGCUUCAAUUUUGAAGUUAUUGGUCAAGCUACAAAGGGCUCACGGAGGAUACCUUGGCACACAGAGGCGAUGAAGGACGUGGUUACCUGCGAUAAGUCUCGGGGA